UACUGUGAGCAAAUGGAAAAGUACUCGGACAAGGACGUCUCAGAGCCUUCAGAUUUUUAAAACAUGCAGCACAGAGAGCUUCUGGUCUUCUAGGCACACCAGAACCAAGGAUGGAGCAGCCUCUCCAGGAAGAGUAGAGUAAGGAAGUAAUAAUGCAAGUGAACUUGUACUGGAAUGGGUACUUCUACCAAGGGUACGCUGAUCACUGGAUCAAAAAAACACAAGGAAACUUGUGCUCUGGACAGACAUUUGUAACAGCUCCGUGCCCAGGGAGGACCUUGCUGGCGUUUCCAUCUCUCCCUUCUGUCCGUCAAGAACAGGAUGUGCGACACACUUACAUUGACCUGACCUCUCUGCGGCU
Molecule: long non-coding RNA, 361 nt
Organism: Nothoprocta perdicaria
Lineage: Eukaryota; Metazoa; Chordata; Aves; Tinamiformes; Tinamidae
Exons: 4
Source: RefSeq, a predicted model, not a curated record